AACGAACGCUGGCGGCAGGCUUAACACAUGCAAGUCGAACGGGUGUAGCAAUACAUCAGUGGCAGACGGGUGAGUAACACGUGGGAACCUUCCUCGUUGUACGGGACAACUCAGGGAAACUUGAGCUAAUACCGUAUACGUCCGAGAGGAGAAAGAUUUAUCGCAAUGAGAAGGGCCCGCGUCGGAUUAGCUAGUUGGUGGGGUAACGGCCUCCCAAGGCUACGAUCCGUAGCUGAUCUGAGAGGAUGAUCAGCCACACUGGGAUUGAGACACCGCCCGGAAUCAUACGGGAGGACGCAGUGCGGUAUCUUGGACAAUGGGGGCAAGCCUGAGCGAGCCAUGCCGCGUGAGUGAAGAAGGCCUUAGUGUUGUAAAGCUCUUUUGCCAGGCACGAUAAUGACGUUACCUCGAGAAUAAGCCCCGACAAACUUCGUGCCAGCCGCCGCCGUAA
This 451-nucleotide ribosomal RNA is filed under the name uncultured bacterium. RNAcentral describes it as "partial 16S ribosomal RNA". It matches the Rfam family "Bacterial small subunit ribosomal RNA", at positions 29 to 523 of the family's 1533-position model. The record is from RNAcentral.